ACCCGGCUAGCUCAGUUGGUAGUGCAUGGGACUCUUGAUCUCAGGAUUGUGGGUUUAAUCCACAUGCUGGGUG
Molecule: transfer RNA, 73 nt
Filed under: Pangasianodon gigas (Mekong giant catfish)
Lineage: Eukaryota; Metazoa; Chordata; Actinopteri; Siluriformes; Pangasiidae
Description: tRNA-Lys
Rfam family: tRNA
About the family: Transfer RNA (tRNA) molecules are approximately 80 nucleotides in length. Their secondary structure includes four short double-helical elements and three loops (D, anti-codon, and T loops).
Source: RNAcentral